CAAACAGUUAUAAAAAAACAUUUGUGAUGUUUCUAGGUGAUGUUUUAAAGGUAAAUAAAUGUUUGCAUUGAUUUAAAAAGUCACUAAAAAUAAUUUUGACUUCUCUGAUGCUUUACAAAGUGGAAGACCAGUUGAGUUUGAUAAUGAAGCUUUAAAAUUCUUAUUGGAGUCCAAUUCAAAAUUGAGCAUCUAGAAAUUGUUGGAUAAACUUGGAUCUACAUAGUCAACAGUUCAAAGAUAUCUCCAGGAAAUUCAAAAUGUUCAUAGACAGGGCAUAAGGAUUCUAUACAAAUUUUCUUCCACCAACAAGGAACAGUGACAUACACACUGCCUUGUCAGUAAUAAGUUGCAUAUUGUAUGUCUUUCUGUUGAGAAAGGACCAUAUCUCUUCCUUGCAGAAGUGUAACUGAAGAUGAAAAAAUGGAUCCUCUACAUCAGGGAUGGGCAAACUUUUCUGACCAUGGGCAACACAGACUUUUGUGAGGACUGCAUAAAAAACUAUUUUUACAUGCCAAUGCAUGAGGUACUCAUAGUAGCAGAAAAUAAUAUGAUCAUGCUGGAAACCAGCAUUUUAUUUUCAACAAAUUUUCAUAGUCAUUCUCUACCACUACUACUGCCUCAAAAUCUAUUGCCCCCCCAAGAGAUUACUUGGAAUCAAGUGGGACACAUGACAGAUUUUUUAAAGGGGAAGCUUUAGCAUACAAAACAUUAAAUUUAAUUAAUUAAUUAUGUUGCUUGUUUAUAUAAUUUAACACUUUUGUGAUAAAAUUUGUAAAAAAUCUUACACUUGUGCACGGAUCGCGGGCAGUAGAUAUCGUCUUACGACACGCGGGCCACAUGCGAUUCGAGUCGCAUGUGGUCCGCGUGUGGUAAUUGGCCCAUCCUUGAUCUUGAUUAAUCUUAUAAAUCAGGAGUGGGGCAAACUUUUCUGAUCUUUUGCCACACAGACUUCAGUAAGGUCUUUAACGGACCGUAUGUAAAAAAAUGCUUUUACUUUCCGAUAUACGAGGUAUUCAUAGAAAAGGAAAGUAUUGCGAUCAUGCCG
RNAcentral lists this long non-coding RNA (1045 nucleotides) under Androctonus crassicauda. The record is from RNAcentral. Lineage: Eukaryota; Metazoa; Arthropoda; Arachnida; Scorpiones; Buthidae.